RNAcentral lists this transfer RNA (72 nucleotides) under Capra hircus (goat). It matches the Rfam family "tRNA". Rfam says of the family: Transfer RNA (tRNA) molecules are approximately 80 nucleotides in length. Their secondary structure includes four short double-helical elements and three loops (D, anti-codon, and T loops). The record is from Rfam by way of RNAcentral. Lineage: Eukaryota; Metazoa; Chordata; Mammalia; Artiodactyla; Bovidae. RNAcentral also lists the same sequence under 1 other name.
UCCCUGGUGGCUGAGAGGGUAAAGCGUCUGCCUGCAAUGCAGGAGAUCCAGGUUUGAUCCCUGGGUCGGGAA